CCUACGGGUGGCAGCAGUGAGGAAUAUUGGUCAAUGGACGAGAGUCUGAACCAGCCAAGUAGCGUGAAGGAUGACUGCCCUAUGGGUUGUAAACUUCUUUUAUAUGGGAAUAAAAUGUUCCACGUGUGGGAUUUUGUAUGUACCAUAUGAAUAAGGAUCGGCUAACUCCGUGCCAGCAGCCGCGGUAAUACGGAGGAUCCGAGCGUUAUCCGGAUUUAUUGGGUUUAAAGGGAGCGUAGGUGGAUUGUUAAGUCAGUUGUGAAAGUUUGCGGCUCAACCGUAAAAGUGCAGUUGAAACUGGCAGUCUUGAGUACAGUUGAGGUAGGCGGAAUGCGUGGUGUAGCGGUGAAAUGCUUAGAUAUCACGAAGAACUCCGAUUGCGAAGGCAGUUCACUGGACUGCAACUGACACUGAGGCUCGAAAGUGUGGGUAUCAAACAGGAUUAGAUACCCCAGUAGUC
RNAcentral lists this ribosomal RNA (460 nucleotides) under uncultured bacterium. Its description in RNAcentral is "partial 16S ribosomal RNA". It matches the Rfam family "Bacterial small subunit ribosomal RNA", at positions 338 to 795 of the family's 1533-position model. The record is from RNAcentral.